UCUGCCAGUAAAUUGUGAAAACAGUUUGUGCUUUCCUCAGUUCAGUUGUACUUCCCAAGAAAGGGAGAUUCAGCAAGAGUUUCUAAGUUACCCAGGCACUUAGAAAAGACCCCAAGCACUUUUUACAAUGAUGAAUGAGGAUAUUUAUUCCUCAACUCAGGUUUAGUGAUUGACUCAGACAUUCUGACUGCUGCAAUGACACUGAAGUUGGGAUAUUUGAAAUGAAUCAGUGAGCAGAACACUGAAUUGAACUUAUUGCUGAUUUACUACCUGAUAUCUGCACAGAACCCAACAUUUCUGAUUUCCUCUUUUAAAUCUGGCAGCUCAACCAUAGUUAUAGUAAGCCUUGCUUCACUCUUUGAUUGUGAACAAGUAAAAAGCAAUGAAAUAUUAGUUACAUAAAUGUCUAUCUCUAAAAAUUCUCCAUGGGUGAUAAAUAAUUAACUGGAUUAUUUACUUUUUUUUUUUCCCCAGCAAUAAUAUACAGUGCCUGAGUUAAGAGGUGACUUAUCACAGAUAUCAAGCUCUUCUGGAAGUUCUCUGUUUCCUGCACUGUUUCUGGCUUGGUGCAGCCCUGGACAAUGUCAGGGAUGUGGUGUCACCACUUGAAGAUCUCAGGAAGGACAAAUCAAUUUUGAAGACCCCCUGGCAUCGCGCCGAGGAGCUGCGGAACCAGAGUGCACCUCGGGCCCAGCUGGGUGGCCAUCACUCGCCCUCCCAGGGUCCCCGCGGUGAAGGCUCUGUGAGGGUCGCGGCUGCGGGGGCCACACAGGCAUCACCGCGGUUGGGAUGGAUCCAUAGGGAUGUGUGUCCCUUGUGACUGAUGCCGGGGACAUGACUGCUGUGCGGGAU
RNAcentral lists this long non-coding RNA (852 nucleotides) under Manacus vitellinus (golden-collared manakin). Its description in RNAcentral is "lncRNA (ENSMVIG00005006375.1)". Lineage: Eukaryota; Metazoa; Chordata; Aves; Passeriformes; Pipridae. The record is from RNAcentral.